CCUACGGGUGGCAGCAGUGAGGAAUAUUGGUCAAUGGGCGAGAGCCUGAACCAGCCAAGUCGCGUGAGGGAGUACUGCCCUAUGGGUUGUAAACCUCUUUUGUCGGGGAGCAAAAGCCGGACGUGUCCGGCUGUGAGAGUACCCGAAGAAAAAGCAUCGGCCAACUCCGUGCCAUCAGCCGCGGUAAUACGGGGGAUGCGAGCGUUAUCCGGAUUUAUUGGGUUUUAAGGGUGCGCAGGCGGAUUGUUAAGUCAGCGGUAAAAUCGUGGGGCUCAACCCCAUCCAGCCGUUGAAACUGGGGAUCUAGAGUGGGCGAGAGGUAUGCGGAAUGCGUGGUGUAGCGGUGAAAUGUAUAGAUAUCACGCAGAACCCCGAUUGCGAAGGCAGCAUACCGGUGCACAACUGACGCUCAGGCACGAAAGCGUGGGUAUCGAACAGGAUUAGAUACCCGGGUAGUC
This 458-nucleotide ribosomal RNA is filed under the name uncultured bacterium. RNAcentral's name for it is "partial 16S ribosomal RNA". It matches the Rfam family "Bacterial small subunit ribosomal RNA", at positions 338 to 795 of the family's 1533-position model. The record is from RNAcentral.